UUAGUGGGUAUAGCACUGAAUAUCUAAUAGUUAUUUAAAGGGAGUAUGAAAGUACUUACCUUGGAUAUUUAAUCUCAGAAUAAUUAAUAAGAAAAUAGAUAAGUUAUCAGACUUCUUGCGAUAAGGUGGAAGUCGAGAG
Molecule: ribosomal RNA, 139 nt
Filed under: Pneumocystis sp. L7
Lineage: Eukaryota; Fungi; Ascomycota; Pneumocystomycetes; Pneumocystales; Pneumocystaceae
Description: partial large subunit ribosomal RNA
Source: RNAcentral